GCGUCCUGGGGGCGUUAGUUCUUUGGAAACGUGUUUCUUUUGUGCUCACAGGCUUCCCUUGCCCGCGACCUUUCAAAACUUUCCAGAGAAUCACCAUUAAGAGGCAGGAGCCACCUCUGCGCCUUGUAAGACCUUGUGGGGGGGUCAGAGGGAGCCCACGGGACCCGUUUCGGUUGCCGCCCCUCUUGGUCGCGCUCACACAGGGAAUUCGAGGCCAUGGUGUAGGCACAUGGCAUCCAUGACCUUCAAGGACUGGCAGUGACCUUUACCUAGGACGAGUGGGAGCAGCUGGAUGCUGCCCAGAGGAGCCUGUACUGGGAGGUGAUGCUGGAGACCUGUGGGCUGCUGACCUCUCUGGGAUAUUCAGUUCCCAAACCAGAUCUAAUCCACCCACUGAAGCACAGGCAGGAGCUGUGGGUGGUGAAGAGAAGCCUCUCCCAAAGUGCCUGUCCAGUUCUGGAGUCAGGAAAGUCCAAGCUCAAGAUUCCUAUGGGGUUCAGUUUCCUGGCGUGCAGAGAGCCACCUUCUCACUGUGUCCUCAAAUGGAGAGAGAAGUCAUCGUGUUCAUAAGUGAGAACACACAAUAUGUUAAAUAUGUAACUUCUUCAGAAUAAAAGGAAAAAAUAAUUUAUUAAAAAAAAAACCAUUCCAACAAACGGAAGUCCAGGACCACAUGGCUUCAUAGGUGAAUUCUGUCAAACAUUUAAAGAAGACCUAACACCCAUCCUUCUCAAACUCUUCCAAAAAAUUACAGAGGAUGGAACACUCCCAAACUCAUUCUACAAGGCCACCAUCACCCUAAUACCAAAACCAAAGAUAACUACAGAAAAAGAAAACUACAGACCAAUAUCACUGAUGAACCUAGAUGCAAAAAUCCUCAACAAAAUACUAGCAAACAGAAUCCAACAGCACAUUAAAGGAUCAUACAUCAUGAUCAAGUGGGAUUUAUCCCAGGGAUGCAAUAUACAUAAAUCAAUCAGUGUGAUACACCAUAUUAACAAAUUGAAGAAUAAAAACCAUGCUCAUCUCAAUAGAUGCAAAAAAAGCUUUUGAGAAAAUUCAACACCAAUUUAUGAUCAAAACGCUCCAGAAAGUGGGCAUAGAGGGAACCUACCUCAACAUAAUAAGGCCAUAUGCCAUAAACAACAAACCCACAGCAAACAUCAUUCUCAGUGGUGAAAAACUGAAAGCAUUUCCUCUAAGAUCAGGAACAAGACAAGGAUGUCCACUGUCGCCAACAUAGUUUUCAAAGUCCUAGCCACGGCAAUCAGAGAAGAAAAAGAAAUAAAAGGAAUCCAAAUUGGAAAAGAAGAAGUAAAGCUGUCACUGUUUGCAGAUGACAUGAUACUAUACAUAGAGAAUCCUAAAGAUGCUACCAGAAAAAUACUAGAGCUAAUCAAUGAAUUUGGUAAAGUAGCAGGAUACAAAAUUAAUGCACAGAAAUCUCUUGCAUUCCUAUACACUAACUAUGAAAAAUCAGAAAGAGAAGUUAAGGAAACACUCCCAGUCACCACUGCAACAAAAAGAAUAAAAUACCUAGGAAUACAAAAAAACAAAAAUACCUAGGAAUAAACCUAUCUAAGGAGGUAAAAGACCUGUACUCAGAAGACUAUAAGACACUGAUGAAAGAAAACAAAGAUGACACAAACAGAUGGAGAGAUAUACCAUGUUCUUGGAUUGGAAGAAUCAAUAUUGUGAAAAUGACUGUACUACCCAAAGCAAUCUACAGAUUCAAUGCAAUCCCUAUCAAAUUAUCAAUGGCAUUUUUUACAGAACCAGAAGAAAAAAUCUUUAAAUUUGUAUGGAGACACAAAGCACCCCGAAUAGCCAAAGCAAUCUUGAGGGGAAAAAACGGAGCUGGAGAAAUCAGACUCCCUGACUUCAGACUAUACUACAAAGCUACAGCAAUCAAGACAGUAUGGUAGUGGCACAAAAACAGAAAUAUUGACCAAUGGAACAAGAUAGAAAGCCCAGAGAUAAACCCAUGCACCUACUGUCAACUAAACUGUGACAAAGGAGACAAGGAUAUACAAUGGAGAGAAGACAGUCUCUUCAAUAAGUGGUGCUGGGAAAACUGGACAGCUACAUGUAAAAGAAUGAAAUUAGAACACUCCCUAACACCAUACACAAAAAUAAAGUCAAACUGGAUUAAAGACCUAAAUGUAAGACUGGACACUAUAAAACUCUUAGAGGAAAACAUAGGAAGAACACUAUGACAUAAAUCACAGCAAGAUCCCUUUUGACCCACCUCCUAGAGAAAUGGAAAUAAAAAAUAAUAAUAAACAAAUGGGAUCUAAUGAAACUUAAGAGCUUUUGCACAGCAAAGGAAACCAUAAACAAGACGAAAAGACAACCCUCAGAAUGGGAGAAAAUAUUUGCAAACGAAGCAGCUGACAAAGGAUUAAUCUCCAAAAUAUACAAGCAGCUCAAUAUCAAAAAGCAAACAACCCAAUCCAAAAAUGGGCAGAAGAGCUAAAUAGACGUUUUUCUAAGAAGACAUACAGAUGGGCCAAGAGGCACAUGAAAAGCUGCUCAACAUCACUAAUUAUUAGAGAAAUGGAAAUCAAAGCUACAGUGAGGUGUUACCUCACACCAGUAGAACGGGCAUCAUCAGAAAAUCUAGAAACAACAAAUGCUGGAGAGGGUGUGGAGAAAAGAAAAGAACCUUCUUGCACUCUUGGUGGGAAUGUAAAUCGAUACAGCCACUAUGGAGAACAGUAUGGAGGUUCCUUAAAAAACUAAAAAUAGAAUUACCAUAUGACCCAGCAAUCCCACUACUAGGCAUAUACCCAGAGAAAACCAUAAUUCAAAAAGACGCAUGCACCCCAAUGUUCAUUGCAGCACUAUUUACAAUAGCCAGGUCAUGGAAGCAACCUAAAUGCCCAUCGACAGACAAAUGGAUAAAGAAGAUGUGGUACAUAUAUACAAUGGAAUAUUACUCAGCCAUAACAAGGAACAAACUUCGGUCAUUUGUAGAGAUCCAGAUGUACCUAGAGACUCAUACAGAGUGAAGUCAGUCAGAAAGAGAAAAACGAAUAUCAUAUACUAACACGUAUAUGUGGGAUCUAGAAAAAUGAUACAGAUGAACUGGUUUGCAAGGCAGAAAUAGAGACACAGAUGUAGAGAACAAACGUAUGGACACCAAGGGGGGAAAGCAGGGGUUGGGGGUUGGUGGUGGUGGGAUGAAUUGGGAGAUUGGGAUUGACAUAUACAUAGUAAUGUGUAUAAAAUAGAUAACUAUAAGAACCCACUGUAUAAAAAAUUAAAUUUAAAAAGAAUCUGCAUAUAGCAGCAAGGUGGAUAACCACAAAAAAACUUAAAUAACUAAAAAGGAAACAAGUGAGUAUCUUUAACUGAACAGUAUACUCUAGUCAGAAUUUAUGGAUAUAAUUAUGGAAACAGGUGAAUGAAUGUCCACAAAAAUUGAUAAAUACAUUGUGAUAUACUGGCAUAACAGAAUAUUUCAAGAAGAAAGCAAGCUAUAGUGCACACAUUGUGAUUCUUAGUUAUUUAACACUGACUUUUUUAAAAGCAUAUAUCAGAAGACUAUAGUAACGUCUUGGUCAUUCAGGCUGUUGUGACAAGGUACCACAGCCUGGGUAGCUUACAAACAGAAAUUUGUUUCUCAGAGUUUUGGAAGCUGGGAAGCCCAGGAUCUAGGUGCCAGCAUGGUCACAUUCUGGUGAGGGCCUUAUUCCUGGUUCAUAGCUGGUGCCUUCUCGCUGUCAUGGUGGAAGGAGCGAAGGAUCUCUCUGGAGCCUGUCUGUUAAAACACUGAUCCCAUUCAGGAGGGUUCCACCCUCAUGACUUACACAGUCUCACCUCUUAAUACCAUCAUCUUUGGAUGUAAGGAUUUCAACAUGUAGGGGACACAUUCAAGCCAUAGCAAUCAACAAUGAUACUAUUUAUCAGAAAUUAAAAAACAGAAAACUAUAUUUUCUUUAAAUAUACUUACAAGCAAGUAUGAUGUAAUAAUUAAACCAAGCGAUGAACUGACAACUAGAUGAGAUAGACAAAUUGCUUGAAAGAUGCAAAAUAACACAUCCAACACAAGAAACAAAAUCUGAAAUGCACCACAUCUACAAAAGAAAUUCAAUUUAUAAUAAAAAACACUCCCAUUAUAAAGUAAUGAAAUUAUGAAAGCAAGUUGAAGACAGUGAUUCAGGAAAAGAGAGGAUUGGAAAAAGAAGAAAUGUGUAGAUAGAGGUAGGAUAUUGGUUGGUAAUACUCCUGUUCUUGCAUUGGCUGAUGGUGUUCACUAUAAUCUUUAUAGAGAAAAUAAACGACUGGAAAAAGUUUAAGAAUAAACAUGACAGUGCACUGACAAAAGCGUGUCAUUAAACUAAGGUUUAUGAUUAAUACAAACCUAUACACCUGUAGUCAAUUAUAAAUUUUAGAAGCCAACAGAGUGUAUUGUGUUUGACAUCAUGGUACCUGGGGAGAAUCAGCCCAGAAACAAAUCCCAGCAACACCCCCUUGCUAGUUUUCUGCCCUUCAGCAAGCCAUUCAACUUCCACAAGCUUCUGCCCCCUCACCUACAAACCAGUACAAAUAGAGUCUCUCAAAAAUCACUGUGAGGAUGAAUCACACUGCACCUACAGUGCAAGGACCAAAAAGCUAUGAAUACUUGUUAACUAUCCUGUCUAUAUCACAGCAUGGACACGGAACACAACAUGCAUGAGUUGAAGCUGAAGAACGAAGUAGAGGUGGAUCAUUCAGGGAAACUAAUUACAGUUAAAAGAAGAAAAGGCCAUGAGA
Molecule: RNA transcript, 4758 nt
Organism: Mesoplodon densirostris (Blainville's beaked whale)
Lineage: Eukaryota; Metazoa; Chordata; Mammalia; Artiodactyla; Ziphiidae
Gene name: zinc finger protein 543-like
Exons: 4
Source: RefSeq, a predicted model, not a curated record